UACUCAGAUAUGCUUUGAAAAGCACGUACACUCGGUGGAAGAGCUUGAACCACACCUGUUAAACACUUGCCUUUCACCUACAUAGGGCAAUGUAGCAUAGAACUGGUGAGCUUAAGGAUGUUGCAUGAUCUCCACGGACAAGGUGGCAUCGUACAACAUUGAGUUGACUAUGGCAUCCAUCCCUCUGGGAAUAUUGAGAAUUUUAGUAAGGCCUGAAACUUCAAUCAUCAGUUCAGCAAAAGUAAUAUGUGAAGAAGACAGCAGCUUUGGGCUUCAGAGCUAAUGAAUAAGAGCAUAAAUCAAAAAGUUUGAAAAAUGAAGAAUCUCCUUAUCCAUCUGGCAGACAGACUGAUCAUAAAACCAAUCGUAUCAGUUGUUAAAACAGAAGUUUGAUUAAAUAAAUUGCCAAAAACAGAAUCUCAAAAAAUCAAAAUGAGGGGGAGAACUCCAAAACACUCAGAGGAAACAGAAGGCACGAUGGAGAUUAAAACAUUUUCACAGUGCAGCUUCCUUAGCAAAGGGUAGGGGUCAAGUAAGGAUUAGCCAUCCACAUUGCUUAAAUAUUCAAUGUUUAAAUAUUUAUUGCACUCACCCCAGAGUACAUGAAAGCUGGAGAUAGGAAGUUUCUGAGGACUUAGGGUACUACCAAUACAGAGUACAUUACAAUGACAGAGCAUGUCUGUACAUUGCAUAGUACCAUCAUCCGAUGUAAUGCAUCAAGACUAUGCCAACUGAAAUUUGGUUAAAUUGUUGACUACAUUAAAUUCCAUUAUCACUUUUGGAAAUAAAAGGAUAUAGCUUAACAAUUACCUUCACUCCUACACAAUAAAUUCCCAAUGAAUUGCUUUGGAGUAUUUCCAAAAGACAUCCAGCUCAAAAAAGAAUGCAAGCUUAUCUUUCUUUUUCCUCUUUUGAUCAUGUUCCAUCGAUUUUUCUGAUGGUCUGUCUGAACUAAAGGGACAAGUUCAGUUUCCAUCAUAGGUCGUGGGCUAUUUACACAGCAAGCUGCCAUAUUGUUCCAUGAUAAAUCAAAUACAUAGAAAUAGAACUUCCCCAAGGCUGUUCAACAGCUGCAAUGUGCCUGCGCUAUCCGAGAUGAACUAUAACGCCGGAGGAAUUGAUUUAUGUGAUUCUACACUUUCAGAGCAGGCUUGUUCUGUCGAUUGGAUACUGGUGGGAAAACAACAGGCAGAAGGCAGAAUUGUCCAAAGUGAAUCCUGUGUUUUCACAGGGAGAUGGAAAACUACAUGUAAACUUGUCAUAGUGACUGUUUCACUUUUAGACUGCUCCAAGUCCUUGCACAAUUAUACAUCAGGUACAACUUAAUUUCAACAUCCACAAUAAAGCAUCCUUCUUUAACUCUGACAUUAACUUCGAAAGAAAGGGUUAUGUGUAAAAAUUAGAGAAAGGUACUCUUUUUAAAGAAAAGCACUUUUUAAUUUAUUCAAAAAGAUCAAUCCCUUAUACCUGUGAGGCAGCAAAACAUAUCAAAACACAAAAUGAAUCUGCCAAAAUGGAGAUUACAAUGUCUGCAUAAAGACACUUCUUCACACUCUCAUAGCGUAUUUGUCUGCAUGAGGUAACUCCCAUGGCUUCACCCUUUGUUUGUGUUUAUAGAAUGUGACUAAACUCCAUCUCAGAAAGCCAAUCAGCCUUCCCAUAUUACCCUGAUCAGAGAAUACUCAACACACUAUAAUUGAAGUGAGAAAGUGCUGCCAAUAACAUCAAUUUAAACAAAUUUCUCCUUUAUGUGUAACGCUCUCAUUUAGUCAAGUUUUCAACAAUAUGCUGCAGUUCCAUAUUCCUGGAGUUCUGGUAUGUUCCAAGUACAAAAAAUUAGUUUGCUUAGGCACCAUUCAAUUUGUUUGAAUAAGAUUUCACAGCAUGAAAUGUGAGACCAUUCCAUUAUUGAAUGCUUCCAGUGCAGUAAGUUCUGGAUGGGAAGUUGAGGGAUUGCAAAGCUUGAUUUUUAGCAUAUUUAAGUUUAAACUCAUGAAGGGAAUAUUGGACGGUGGAUUCUUAUGUUUUCCAGACUUAGCUUCUUUGUGAAUACUACUUCCAACUCCUAACAUGAAAUUAGCCCUGGAUUGAAUAGAUUGAGAGAAAUGAAGCGAUAUCGAUGAUCAGGUAUCAGCAUUUGUAGAAGAAUGUGCUAAAUUCUGCCUCUAAAUUGACUGCAUUAUUACUGUUGUGCCAUAUAUGCUAAUCUCUAGUUGCACUGGAUGCUGCAUAAAGGCACCAUGUGUUAUAGCUGCAAUGGUCCCCAAAACUCUCCAGCACACUAUAUUACCAGCUUGAUCUCACCCUACCAUCUGCGAUUGUGAUGUCCACUAACAGAAAUGACUUGCUAGUUGGCAAAAGUUCUCCGAUUUUAAUUUUACAAAAGCAGAAAUUUGGAGUUUUUUUUAUUACAUUCUUGAUCUUCUACAUAAAGUGUCACAGGAUCCUUUGCAGUCAUCUGUUUAGGGCAGAUAGUGCAUUGGUGUAAUCCAUUAUCCAAAAGAGAUUGAAGCAAUAUCCCUUCUGUCCUGUACUGAAAAGAAAAUCAGUCCAGCAGUUAAGUGAUCAGAGAUAAUGGGAACUGCAGAUGCUGGAGAUUCCAAGAUAAUAAAAUGUGAGGCUGGAUGAACACAGCAGGCCAAGCAGCAUCUCAGGAGCACAAAAGCUGACGUUUCGGGCCUAGACCCUUCAUCAGAGAGUUAAGUGAUGUUCUGAUGUCAAGUUCCAUAAAAAAACCUUUUGAACUGUGGUAAGAAUCUAAUGUUGUCAUUUAUCUUGCUUAUAUCUUUAAAA
Long non-coding RNA from Stegostoma tigrinum, 2793 nucleotides. RefSeq lists it as uncharacterized. The transcript has 4 exons. Lineage: Eukaryota; Metazoa; Chordata; Chondrichthyes; Orectolobiformes; Stegostomatidae. The record is from RefSeq and is a predicted model, not a curated record.